UAAUCCUGCCUUCCUCUCUCAGCAG
This 25-nucleotide unclassified non-coding RNA is filed under the name Mus musculus (house mouse). RNAcentral describes it as "oocyte_clustered_small_RNA8482". The record is from RNAcentral. Lineage: Eukaryota; Metazoa; Chordata; Mammalia; Rodentia; Muridae.